UUUUUUUUUUUCUUUUUGUUUAUCCCUCUGCCUUCUAUACAUGAUGUUCCCUGUUUGCUUCACUUGGACACUUGGGCAGAGGCCAGGGGAAUACACUGAACUUGGAAAUAAAACAGGUACUCAGCAAUCCAAAUCCAAAAGCUUGAGCUACUUAGAAAACUGCAAGCCCUUUGAGAAAAUCCCAGGAAAACCUUCCUGAUCCACAUUUGAACAGCACCUCAGGGAGCAGAAUGAUGCUGGGUAGCUGCUGUAACUGCUGGCUACAGUGACUGCCGUAAUUAAUACAGAAAAUGACUUGGAAAUGAAAUUUUCUUUCAGUAGAGGAUGGCAUCAGAACAAAACUAACGAUGGUGGUUUGUUGGGUGGACAGAGUAGGAACAAGACUUGUGCCAUUCAUCAUGGACCUUUUAUUCAGUGCAAAAGGAAGUCACCUGCUCCCAGACCCAUGUCUCAUGCCAGUCACAUCCAGGCGCACAGAGUAUGCCCAGAUACAUACUGUUGGGCUUGCUAACGGCAAGGUCAGACAGAGUGACCUUGAAGCCACCCAGGGAGCACUCAAAAUUCAACAGAGACAUACCCAGACACAACUGGUUGCUCCCCAUACUUUUCCAUUGCCCAGAGCAAGCACCAGUAUAUUGCUCAUCAGUGCAGCCCAGCUGAGAGGGCUGACCAUGAGGAGAACAGCCGAUGUGCUGAUUCAGUCUAAAUAGGACUUUCCAGCAGGAAUCUGGAGCAAUCACAGUGAAUGAUGUUGCUGCUCACCUUGUGCACGAGAUAGAGCAGUUUCCCCACUGACCUUUUCAGUGCUUAUGAGGAGGGCAAGCAUUUCAGCACCUACACCACCUGCGAAUUUGGUAUUCCCCUCAAGGAUAUAAAAAAUUAGGUCAGAGGUUUUUUUCUUCCCCUUGCAUUCCUGCAAAGCACAUUAGAGCUCAAAUCCUCAAGACAAAGCAUUAUUAUUAUUGUUGUUAUUUUUUUAUGGUGGAAAAAAAUAUUAAUGUUACAAAUAGCUGCCAUUAGCAGAAGCAGAGCUGCAUAUUAAUAUGCACAUGGGUGUCUCCACUGUCAGGAAGCAGAGAGGCCCCAGAGGCCCUGCUUUCACUGGGGAAAAUGAUGAUGGCAUUAGCUCUAAUGAUAACGAUAAGGGAGCUGCCAUAAAUGAUUUGACGAUUUCUUUCAUAUUCCUGUUCGGGCAAAGACUUCUUCCUUGCUCCCCAGUGUCCACAGAAGGAUGCUGAUGGAACAAACGGCAGCUCAACUGAUUUAUUUAAUUUCACCACAGCUUUAGGGUUUUCUUAAAAGUGCCAGCAUCUUGGGUCAUGUGACUAAGGAAUUCAUUUAAAUCCUUUCAGCUAAAUUGCUAAUGGCCAAGAUUUUGGAGAACCAGCUACUAAAUAAAUGGAAUUCCACAUUUAUUUAUGAUUUUUAAAACCUUGAGUCUUUUUGGACUAAGGAUACUAUUAUAUCAAAGGACAGCAGGAGAUACGAAGGAAAAAAAAAAGAGAUAUGAAAAAAAUAACCCGCAAAUAAAGUUGUCUCUGAUGUAACAUGUUCUCAACCCAAUCACAGCCUGCCUCUCCCUUCACUUACUUUUGUCCCUGUGUAUGCAUUUAGGAUGCAACAGCAGAACUUUGUGACUGUGCUAUGAAUCAGAUAAGAACAGAUCUGGCUGAAGAGUAACAAAGCAAAAGAGAGCACUGAGGGGGACUUCCUACAGAGAGGCUUUGGAUGUGCUCAGCAGCACACACCUGCACAGAGACAUGCUGGUACAGAUGAGAGGGCAGAAAAGCGUGGGCUAGGCUGCUCCUCUUACUGAGAAAAUGCACACUGGACUACAGAAAGAGAUGCAGAGGGAAGAUCUGGGUUCCUGGGACCCAUGUGUCAAGACACUGUCACACCCUGUUUUGGCUCUUCCAGCUGAGAUUCCUGUUUUUCUUUAGGCCAGAGGGAAAGCUGAAAUUGCUAUCCCCCAGCUGUGACGUUGAGGCAUUGGUUAUGCAAUAGGACUUGGCUACAACAAGUGCAAAAGCAUUUCUUUGCUGAACUCUGCAUCUGAACAGGGACACAAGAUGAUUCUCUCUGGCUCUGUAGCUUCUGAACUAAUUACACAGCUUUGUGAGAUGCCACUGCACAAGGUGUCUCUUCUCUGGAAUUGUCUGUCAUGGCUACAAUGUGCAACAGGGAUCUGAAUACAUUAAAGUGUCAAGGAGGUGGGGAUUCUAGGUUUUGGUCUGUCAGCUUCUGUGCUGAAAACCCUAUUGAGUUCAGCUAAUAUACUACACUAUCCGCUUUUCGGUUUUCCCGUUUGUUCGUGUGAUGUACAUCCUGAAGCUCAUCAGAGGGAAAUGUCAGCUUUACACCAGCAAUAACAUUCUUUGCAGCAAACUCAAUCCAAACAGACGAGCCAAAGACACAAAGAGCCCUACAGAAGACGCAAAGAGCCCUACAGAAGACUGCCCCAGAUAAGAUGGCCAGAUGAAAAUUCUUGAUACAGAGAAAAAUCCAAAGGUUGGCAUGCACAGGCCAGUAGCACAGGUGUUAUGGAAAGACAGCCUGCCCCACUCACAUGCUUCAGGAUACAGGGCACAAGCCUCACAAUCUGCCUCUCAGGUAAUAUCUGCCCCAGAUAAUACAACAGCAAAUAGAGGCAUCUUUGCAUUACAAAACAGCCAUACUUAAGCUGCAAAACUGGUGGACUCAAGAUGGAAGACAUCAGGGUACUACAAAACAUAAAUUCUAUUUGUUCUUCUUUUCUGUUCCUUACUCUCUUUCCCUUAGACUUAGUUGAGUGUUUCAAGCUAGUAUCUCAAACUCAGCCCUCACAUAGCUUCUUAAACGCUUAUUAUUCUAUCUGGUCUGCUCAGAAGAAUGUUUUCUUAUCCAUUUCCUUGUUUGGAAACCGAACCUCAGUCAUCCAACAGAAUUCCUCUGCAGAGACAGCAGGACUAUCCCAGCAUGAAUGGAACAUAAUGGUGACCAUGCUUGGGAAAUGCCACAUUACCAUAAACCUCCACUUUUGGACAUAACCAGAACAAAGGGCAGUUUUGUAUUUUGCUAGCUAAACUCAGUAAGGUAGUGCAGAUAAUCUAGAAAGCUUCUCUAAACAGGGGCUCAACACUACAAUUGUAAGCAGAAGCACAUACACACACUGCACAAAUGAUAUAAAUUAAAACCAGCUAUUCAAUACUGUCUCCUACUGUGAAAAGUUAAAAGAAUUAAACUAAUAUAUGAAGUCUGUUUGAUGUUUCUGUACAACUAGACUUUAUACGUAUACACAAAAGUCUGUAUUUCACUUGCACUUGGAUUUCCAAACAUGUAAUUUGCUGGUCUCCCACACCAGCAUUAUGUGGUCUACCACAUAAUGCCUGUGGGCUUAAAAAGAGGAGGAGCAACCCUGAAUCAUACACUGUUUGCAUGAUCCUGGAAGCCAAAUGCACAAACCCAAAGCUAUUCUCUGGAGAGCUGUAGGGCUCAGCAUGUAACAAGGUAGAUGGUAUAGAGGCAGCUGUAAGGAACUUGAAAAGCCACAGAAUGAACUGCAGCUUGCUGCAUGCUAAGUCCAUACAGACAUAAAUCUUGAUUUCAAAUGUUGUCAUCAAGACUUCAGUGCCAAGUGGAAAUAAGAGUGAUAAAAAUAUAUUUUCAGAAGCACUUUGUCAGGCUCGGGUCAUGCACCACAAGAACGUGGUGUCUGAAAGGGGAAUCAGCCUGGCAGGCACACUUUCUACAGCCUGCUGUUCCCACACAACUUGCAGUUGUACACAGGCACUGCAGUCACCACAAGACAGGAAUUGUACAAGUGCCUGUUCCAAGACCAGCACACCCUUCUGGCACCCAUGCUAAAGAGAGAAUGCAUAGGUAAUGCUCAAUGAUCUCAUUAUAAACCAGCCUGGGGGAGAGGAAUAGUGACAAAUAAAGAUUAGAUACGCUUUUGACUGCAGAUCACAUUCCAUUAGCCCAGGCCAGGAUAGCCAUGUACAUAUCUAUGCUGUAAGCACCGCAACACAGGCAGUGAUUUACUGACAAGGUAUAAAGCAAUGCAGCUUAACCAUCCCAAUCACUGGAUCACACAGUCACAAGACAUCUCUUUUUCCAACAUUUUUUCUAGCAAAGACUUACGAACAGACAAGAGAGCCAUGAACACCUGAGGG
Taeniopygia guttata (zebra finch) is the source of this 4151-nucleotide long non-coding RNA. NCBI's taxonomy places the organism in Eukaryota, Metazoa, Chordata, Aves, Passeriformes, Estrildidae. The record is from Ensembl.